Acanthochromis polyacanthus (spiny chromis) is the source of this 2786-nucleotide long non-coding RNA. RefSeq lists it as uncharacterized. NCBI's taxonomy places the organism in Eukaryota, Metazoa, Chordata, Actinopteri, Pomacentridae. The transcript has 15 exons. The record is from RefSeq and is a predicted model, not a curated record.
GUUAUUUAUGGAUCUUUUUGUGUCAUUUUUUGGAACUUUUGGGGUAAUUUUGGGAUCUUUUAGUAUCAUUUUUCCGCUUAAGAGUUUGAUUUUUUGGAGUUUUUAGUGUCAUUUUUGAAUCUCUUGAUGUACAUUUUGUAUAUUUGAGGUCAUUUUAGAUCUUUUGGGGUCAUUUUUGCAUCUCUUAGUGUCGUUUUUCUUUUUCUUUUACAGUGUUAUUUCCAUCUCUUAGUGUUAUUUUUCACACUUUUAGUGUCAUUUUUGAAUCCCCUGAGGUAAAUUUUGUAUCUUUUGAGGACAUUUUAGAUCUUUUGGGGUGAUUUUUGCAUCUCUUAAGGUCCUUACACACCGGGUGCGAUGCGAAUAAACGAUGCGAAAUUGCGAAAUAUUCGGAUUUGAGUUUUGACCCACCUGGCCACACAUAUCAAGCACGAUGCGUUUUUUUGACUUUCCGAAGGGGAGGAAGACGUGUCCCAGGAGGAAGCGAAAAAGGAAAAAAAGAAAAAGAAGCGCAGCACAUGGGUGCACCCAAUACUACAAGAAAGAAGAGAACUUGGUGAGUUCCACUGCUUGGUUCAGGAGCUUAAACUAUACCACGGUCGCUUCAGAACUUAUUUUUGGAUGUCCGUCGGCCAGUUUGAGGUUCUUCUGAAACAGCUAGCUCCAAGUUUGAAGAAGCAAAGGAGUAAUUUCAGGGAGCCGAUUGAUCGGAGCAGCGACUGGCCGUGUGUCUGAGGGCUGGACUCUGAUCAUACAUGUAAAGGUUGAAGCAGAUUGGAGCACGUACAGGUCAGUUACACAGCACUUCCUGUCACGAACUCAGAGGACGGACCCGAACAGAGAGCCACACUACCAAGGCCGGUGGAACUGAGAAGGAGUUUUAUUGUAAAGGGGUGAAUAGUGGCUCAGUGGGGGGAAACCAGGAUGCAGGAGCGGGGGGCGGAGAAGGAUGGCUCACCAGUGGUGUUCUGGGAGGUUCCGGGAGAUGCAGCACACAUUGACACAGAGGGUCUAUAUUACCUUGAUGAUCGACAAACUGAACAGUUGAUCCUAAAAAUGAAGAAACGCCAGACAUCAGAGGAUUCUCCAUCAACAAGUGCUAAAGUCCAAUAAGGAAAGAGAAAGUCAGAUCUUCAGGGUGAGUCCAGUAAAGGACAAUCAUCCAGAAAACGACGUGUCCAUGAAGCACAACCAGACAGAGAAGCGUUCAUACUGUUUGAUGUAAAGAAGAUUAUGAGAUCUGUCCUUAAGAAACUGCCCGACCAAGGCAACACAAAGCUGAAUGAGUUCCUGAGAAAUAAAGGAACUGGCUUCACUGUUCCAGUACUUUUGGAGGGGACUGUACAUGUGGUCUUUUGUUGAUACAGAGAUAAACUAUUGAAUAUCUCCAUUUAUAAAUGAAACAACAGCAGGCUGGACUAAAAUCCACGAUUUGAAGACAGACAAGAGGGAAGUGAUCGGUGUUUUUGGCAGAACUGGGGCUGGAAAGAGCUCUUUGAUAAAUGUCAUCAUUGGAGAGGAGGAUCUGUUGCCUACUGCAGACGAUGGUGCCUGUACCUCCGUCAUGAUUAAAGUGGAGUCAAACCGUAACAGCUUAAAGUACAAAGCAAAAAUCAAGUUCAUUAGACCAGAGUACUUCCUGUUCUAAUAAUGUUCUGGAGGGUUCCAUGGUGUGUUCCAACUCUACUUUCUGCAGACUGAGGGAGUGGAAGGAAUCUAGAAAAGUUGGACACCUGUAGGAUUUGGUAGCUCCAACCUUCAAGACUUCAUCCUCCAUUGGUGCAGAGCAGCUUUAAGUUAACCAUGAAAACGGCCUUUUUGUGUAAUUCUGAAGUGUACGUUGUUUUUCAGUUCUGGGUAACCUGAACUUUUUUUUUUUUUUACCUCUGGCAGUUCACCACUUACCUUUGGACCAUUUCAAGCUCUUCAUUGGACCUGAACUACUUCAAUUUCGAUUAAAAAAAAUGGAAAAAUUGGGAUGUUCUAAAAUACUCAUGAAAAUAAAGAGAAACCAUUAAAUGAGAAAGUGUGUCCAAACCUUUGACCGGUAGUGUGUAUAUACAUCUAACAUGUGUGUGUUUUAUUGUAGAAGCCAAAGUCUGUUCUAGAAAAGGCUCACUGAAAAAAAUGAGGGACACUAUUGAGAAACAUGUACGUGACAAUACCAAGAUGUUUGAGAUGGCUAAAGCUGAAAUGUUGAAGCAGCUGGAGGACUUGAAGACUAAAAUCCUGGAGACACUGCAGGAGACCUUGGAGGAAUCCAUUGAGAACUCACUGAAGACAGAUGACAGCUUAACUCCAGUCUCUUCCUACAGCUUGGAUUCCUGCCUCCUCCCUCUAACACUUUAUUUUACAACCUGAUCCAUCAUCAGUGAACUUGUGCUGCUGUAUUUUCUACCUGAAGUCUUCGGCUGCCUGUUGCAGUCUCUUCCUACAGCUUGGAUUCCUGCCUCCUCCCUCUAACACUUUAUUUUACAACCUGAUCCAUCAUCAGUGAACUUGUGCUGCUGUAUUUUCUACCUGAAGUCUUCGGCUGCCUGUUGCAGUUUCUGUUCUUGGUCAUGGAUGACUUUGUUCGUAACAAACUGACUGAAUGGGGUCUAAGCGAUUACAUUGAUCGUUUUAAAGCUCAAAAAGUUAACAAGAAUAAUCUCUAUCAUCUUAAUGAUGAAGACAUUAAAGAGUUGAUCCCAGAAGUGGGACCAAAAGCAACACUGAGGGAGAAACUGAAGCAGUUAAAGGAAGAACAAAUCACAGAACAGGAAGCAGCUGAUGUUCCCAUUGAA